GAGCACGUAGGUGGGUUUGUAAGUCAGAUGUGAAAGCCUCCUGUUCAACGGGAGAAUUGCAUCUGAAACUACAGAUCUUGAGUGUAGGAGGGGAGAAUGGAACUUCUGGUGGAGCGGUGAAAUACGUAGAUAUCGGAAGGAACGCCGGCGGCGAAAGCGAUUCUCUGGCCUAUUACUGACACUCAGUGUGCGAAAGCUAGGGGAGCAAACGGGAUUAGAUACCCCGGUAGUCCUAGCCGUAAACGAUGGGCACUAAGUAGAGGGGUUUU
Molecule: ribosomal RNA, 269 nt
Filed under: uncultured Planctomycetota bacterium
Lineage: Bacteria; Pseudomonadati; Planctomycetota
Description: uncultured planctomycete partial 16S ribosomal RNA
Rfam family: Bacterial small subunit ribosomal RNA
Source: RNAcentral